CCUACGGGCGGCAGCAGUAGGGAAUAUUGCACAAUGGGGGAAACCCUGAUGCAGCGACGCCGCGUGAGUGAAGAAGUAUUUCGGUACGUAAAGCCCUAUCAGCAGGGAAGAAAAUGACGGUAUCUGACUAAGAAGCCCCGGCUAACUACGUGCCAGCAGCCGCGGUAAUACGUAGGGGGCAAGCGUUAUCCGGAUUUACUGGGUGUAAAGGGAGCGUAGGCGGGAGCGCAAGUCUGAAGUGAAAUCCCAUGGCUUAACCAUGGAACUGCUUUGGAAACUAUGCAGCUAGAGUGCAGGAGAGGUAAGUGGAAUUCCUGGUGUAGCGGUGAAAUGCGUAGAUAUUAGGAGGAACACUAGUGGCGAAGGCGACUUACUGGAACGUAACUGACGUUGAGGCUCGAAAGCGUGGGGAGCAAACAGGAUUAGAUACCCCGGUAGUC
Molecule: ribosomal RNA, 440 nt
Filed under: uncultured bacterium
Lineage: Bacteria
Description: partial 16S ribosomal RNA
Rfam family: Bacterial small subunit ribosomal RNA
Source: RNAcentral